UACAGAGGGGGCAAGCGUUAUUCGGAAUUAUUGGGCGUAAAGGGCGCGUAGGCGGCUUUUCAAGUGACGGGUGAAAUCCCCGAGCUCAACUCGGGAACUGCGUCCGAUACUGACAGGCUUGAAUCCGGGAGAGGGAUGCGGAAUUCCAGGUGUAGCGGUGAAAUGCGUAGAUAUCUGGAGGAACACCGGUGGCGAAGGCGGCAUCCUGGACCGGCAUUGACGCUGAGGCGCGAAAGCUAGGGGAGCAAACGGG
RNAcentral lists this ribosomal RNA (253 nucleotides) under uncultured bacterium. RNAcentral's name for it is "partial 16S ribosomal RNA". It matches the Rfam family "Bacterial small subunit ribosomal RNA", at positions 524 to 776 of the family's 1533-position model. The record is from RNAcentral.